This is a long non-coding RNA of Lycium ferocissimum, 328 nucleotides long. RefSeq lists it as uncharacterized. The transcript has 3 exons. Lineage: Eukaryota; Viridiplantae; Streptophyta; Magnoliopsida; Solanales; Solanaceae. The record is from RefSeq and is a predicted model, not a curated record.
AGAAAAUCGUAAUAUAUUCUCUCCCAAUAUUUUCCAUCAUAUUAGUGAAGAUUUGACAAGACCCGGACCACGAAAACCUAAGAUGGUGGAGAAGAAAGGUUGCUUCUAGGGUUUCUUCAAGUUGUGGAGUUUAGGGAGUUGAAGUUGAAGUGAUUCUUGGGAUUCUUGACCCCUCAAGAUUUACAAGUUGAGAAGUAGGAGUCGGACGAUUUGAUAUACGUCAAGGUACGUUAAGGCUACGGUGUGGUCCAGCUCAGUAGGACCUCUAGAUCUAGCAGUGGUCAGUACGCUCCAUUCGAUCCGGAGCUAUAGUCAGUUUUAGUAUGCC